GGUCGGGGUGGGUGCUGUUAUGAGAAGGAAGGGGAGGUCCCACAGGUGUUUAGAAGAAAAAACAGGCAAUAAAUGAAUGAAAACAAAUGGGGUUUAAACUAAGCUAAGGGAUGAGUAUUUUUGUUUCUUAUAGCUGAGAUAAGGUUCUUAUGAAGUUCCCAGGGAAUGUCCCUUCAGAGGUCAGGAAGCAUUUUGCUUCCACAAGUUUUGAGAGUCAUGAAGGCAGGAACACAUUUUGAGAUGCCAGAGCUCAAAUCCCAUGUCACUGGGACAUCAACAAUAGUGCUAUGGGGAAGACUCAGGGUGCCAGCUCUUGAGUCACAAUCACAGAAUUAGAAUGUGGAAGUAGCUACAGAACCCAAGGAAGCCCUGCCUUCUGAUAGCCACACUCAAUGCAAGGCUGCGUAUUUCACCCUGGAGGGAGUGCUGGUUUGCCACAAAACUCCAUCGUAACUGAAAGAGGAAAUCUUCUACAAAUUCCAGAGACCUUCUUGGAGGAUGAGAAGCAGCCACUAGUUGACAGGAGGGGAAGUGAGGCAUGUAGUCUUCAAGGGAGCAGACCACCGUGGGAGUUAUAAAAGAUCAGCGACGCCUCUGGGUGUGUUCGAACCACCAACUUUUUAGUUAACAGCCAAACGCGCUAGCCGAUUGCGCCACAGAGACAUGGCUGAGCUCCUGAUUUCGUUCUAAAAGAGGGUAAGCUGUCACUAAACGCUAGCUAGCACCAUCCGCCUUUUGCAAAAUGACUGGGUAAUCUCCAAAGCCUCGGAAAGCCGGAGCAGUCAGAGCGACGAAUCUACUUGUUUGUCAAGCUUGAAACCUGUGCACUGAGUGAUUCCGAAACGCCCCGCACCCCGCCUU
RNAcentral lists this transfer RNA (861 nucleotides) under Homo sapiens (human). Its description in RNAcentral is "HSALNT0295181". Lineage: Eukaryota; Metazoa; Chordata; Mammalia; Primates; Hominidae. The record is from RNAcentral.